GCUCCGGUGGCCUAGUGGUUAGAGCGUCUGCCUCAGAUGCGGGAGGUCGUGUGCUCGAUCCCCGUCGAAUCA
Potamilus streckersoni is the source of this 72-nucleotide non-coding RNA. The record is from the annotation of a GenBank genome assembly. NCBI's taxonomy places the organism in Eukaryota, Metazoa, Mollusca, Bivalvia, Unionida, Unionidae.